RNAcentral lists this long non-coding RNA (452 nucleotides) under Androctonus crassicauda. The record is from RNAcentral. Lineage: Eukaryota; Metazoa; Arthropoda; Arachnida; Scorpiones; Buthidae.
AUUUUUUACCUUCUGACUUUGAAGAUGAGAUUAAAGCAAAAAUUAUGAAAGUUGUUCCUAGGAAACUGAAAGAAACAGCUUUGCCAACUAUCCACUUGAAGCCUGAAAAUAUAAAUAAAGAUAUGAGUAGGCCUAAACACUCUAACAGGACUCAGAGAAUUGAGAUUAGGAAAAACAAAGUAUUGCUAAAAGAACUCAUGGAAGAAAAAGCAGCAAAAAUAAAACCAGACUUUGACCAAGAAGUCAAUAUUCAAUCCUUUAUGGAGAAUGAAUUAGAAAGCUUGAAGUUACAAUACAAGAAAAUGAUAGACUAAAACAAACAUUAGAAGAAUAUAGAAUUAAACAACUUUCAUUGGAGCACAGAAUAGUUGAUUUGGAAACCAAAUUAAAGAAUGAGGAAAAAUGCACUCGAGAAAAGAUAAAAGAAUUAUUUUCUGAAGUAUUUACAAAAA